GGAGAGAUGGCUGAGUUGGUCGAAAGCGCUCGACUCGAAAUCGAGUAGGCGCCCGAAAUGGUGCCUCGAGAGUUCGAAUCUCUCUCUCUCCG
RNAcentral lists this transfer RNA (92 nucleotides) under Candidatus Ozemibacter sibiricus. RNAcentral describes it as "Candidatus Ozemobacter sibiricus tRNA-Ser". It matches the Rfam family "tRNA". Rfam says of the family: Transfer RNA (tRNA) molecules are approximately 80 nucleotides in length. The record is from RNAcentral. Lineage: Bacteria; Candidatus Rifleibacteriota; Candidatus Ozemibacteria; Candidatus Ozemibacteraceae. RNAcentral also lists the same sequence under 1 other name.